GGAGGUGUGGCUGAGUGGUUGAAGGCACCGCACUCGAAAUGCGGCAUACGGGAAACCGUAUCGUGAGUUCGAAUCUCACCACCUCCG
Molecule: transfer RNA, 87 nt
Rfam family: tRNA
About the family: Transfer RNA (tRNA) molecules are approximately 80 nucleotides in length. Their secondary structure includes four short double-helical elements and three loops (D, anti-codon, and T loops).